AUAUUGUACAAUGGGGGCAACCCUGAUCCAGCCAUGCCGCGCGUGUGAAGAAGGUUUUCGGAUUUUAAAGCACUUUAAGUUGGGAGGAAGGGCUUUAGGUUAAUACCCUGAAGUUUUGACGUUACCAAGAGAAUAAGCACCGGCCAAUGCUGUUCCAGCAGCCGCGGUAAUAAAGAGGGUGCAAGCGUUAAUCGGAAUUACUGGGAGUAAAGCGCACGUAGGUGGUUCAGUAAGAUGGGUGUGACAUCCCCGGGCUUAACCUGGUAACUGCUGUCAUAACUGCUGAGCUAGAGUACGGUAGAGGGUAGUGGAAUUUCCUGUGUAGCGGUGAAAUGCAUAGAUAUAGGAAGGAACACCAGUGGCGAAGGCGACUACCUGGACUGAUACUGACACUGAGGUGCGAAAGCGUGGGAAGCAAA
Molecule: ribosomal RNA, 419 nt
Filed under: uncultured bacterium
Lineage: Bacteria
Description: partial 16S ribosomal RNA
Rfam family: Bacterial small subunit ribosomal RNA
Source: RNAcentral